Molecule: small nucleolar RNA, 88 nt
Organism: Sarcophilus harrisii (Tasmanian devil)
Lineage: Eukaryota; Metazoa; Chordata; Mammalia; Dasyuromorphia; Dasyuridae
Source: Ensembl
CCGGGCUGUGAUGAUGGCGACUUUUGUCACAGGUUCGAGUUUAGCGACCAUGAGAUGACAAGAUCCAUGCACCUCCAUCUGAGCUCUC